This is a long non-coding RNA of Pyrus x bretschneideri (Chinese white pear), 1265 nucleotides long. RefSeq lists it as uncharacterized. The transcript is spliced from 2 exons. NCBI's taxonomy places the organism in Eukaryota, Viridiplantae, Streptophyta, Magnoliopsida, Rosales, Rosaceae. The record is from RefSeq and is a predicted model, not a curated record.
AUUGAUAUAUGAAUACUUCUAAGAAAACAUUAGAUUGUUUACCAAAAAUAAUCACUGUCAAAAUAUUCAAGGAAUUAUUGUCCAUGUAUUUUCAGGUAAUCUAAGAACUCCUUAAAAUGAAUGAAGUCUUGUCUCUUUAAGUCAACUCAUCACACUGAUUUGAACAUUUGGAUGACAUGAGCUUGUUAUUAGCUUUAGGCCUUGGAAUUGAAUAGCAUAGCUUGAUGGAUUUCAAAACCGAUUAAAACUUAGCGAUAGAUUUUCAAUUUUUUUGAGUUCGUCAACCUAACACUUAUUUUUCUUGAUACAUCAUCAUUGGAGCGGUAUCCUAAUUAUGCCUUUUCUUAUUUUCAACUUCUGUCCUUAGUUGUUAAACUUUAUUCUUAAAGGCCAAAUCAACUGCUAGAUAUUGCUACCAAAAACAGCUGGAUAUUUUUCCUUAAUUUGUCCCCAUUUCUCGUUGUUCAUUGUAUCCAUCAGCAUAAGGAAACCAAACAGUGACCAACCAAAUAGAAAAAACCCAUACACACAGGAUCCUGUUAGAAAUCAAAAACCAAAUACACGAAGAAUGGAGUCCAUUGUUUUGAAAACCAGUACCUCCACCAUAACUAUAAAUUGACCCAAAAGUGAGGCUGUAUUAGUAUCUUACAUUGUUUUUCAAGGGUUAGCUUCCAUUAGAGAUAUGUUACGUAUGUGGCAAAUAGCUGUAGGGUCCCAGAAUGAAGAUGAAGACGAUGCUCAUGCAGACCUGAUCAAGGUUCUCAAAAAUCAAUAUCGAAUUUGAUGAUUUACCAAAGGGAAGGCAAAGGGUUAUGAAAGCCUAGUUUGUUUAGUUAAGAACCAACAAAAAUGAAAGCCGUGAUCCCACAAGAGGCUACUGCAGCUGCUGCUCGAGCAAUUUCAGAGGCAGAAGUGGCCAUAGCCGAAGCUGAAGAAGCAGCUGUAGCUGAUGCAGAAGAGCACAAGCUUUUGAUAAAAGAAAAUAAGGGUUACAUGCAACAGAUGGAGAAUGGUGCCCGGCCCUUAAAAUAUAUUGGACAGUGUACAGAGUCUUCUGCCCACUUAACGGCAGGAUGAUGUAAAUUCCUAAAACCGUAGACUUAAGUCUUGUGCAAAUUUAUCAUGAUAACAUAUCUAAUUUUGUAACCACACAAGGAUAUAAUUUGUAACGUAGUCUGUGAUUGCUAAAAUGCUGAAACUCAGACCUCUUUAUAUCCUUUUGCUAAUGAAUCGAAGUCUUUCAACGAAAGUUCCUCAUUUGACUC